Gasterosteus aculeatus aculeatus (three-spined stickleback) is the source of this 8579-nucleotide long non-coding RNA. Lineage: Eukaryota; Metazoa; Chordata; Actinopteri; Perciformes; Gasterosteidae. The record is from Ensembl.
CAUCUAUGCUUAUAACAUACGCUAUUGACUCCACCUGCUGCACCCAGGGGUUCACCUAUGCUUAUACGACGUCACAGGCCCCAGCCAAUCAGAUCGUGUUUAUGCUCACCUCUAAAAUCUCACCAUCAGUUUGGGGGACCUUGGCCUGAAAAACGUUGAAGACCCCUGACAUACGCUAUUGACUCCACCCGCUGCACCCAGGGGUUAAUUUGCACCCACUAAUGACUGUCACUAACACCGUCAGCUGUAACGAGGAAGGCUUCCCUCACCUUGCUGGUGUUGGUGACCUCCUCCGUCAGAAAGAUGAUGUCAUCCAGCAGCAGCUGACUGUCCUCCAUCACUCCGCCCACAGACACCAACUCCACACUGAGGUUGUGAUGGACGGACUGAUAGGCACCGAACAUGUUAUUAUUGAUCAAUAAUCAAUAAAUGCUCCUGACAGUGUGUACGUUUACACUGUGUGUGUUUACAGUGUGUGUGUUUACAGUGUGUGUGUUUACACUGUGUGUGUCUUUGCAGUGUGUAUACACUGGAUGUGUGUGUUUACACUGUGUGUGUUUACAGUGUGUGUGUGUACAGUGUGUGUGUUUACACUGGGUGUGUCUUUGCAGUGUGAUGUGUGUGUCUACCUUGUAGCGGUGAAGCAAAGCGUGUGCGGUUUCCAGGAGAGUGCGUGUUUGUCUGUUUUGUAGUUCAGUGUCGCUCAGCCGCGUUUGAGCAAGUUGCAGUGUUUCCAUAGCAACAUUGAGGGGCACGGAGAGGAGGCGGAGUCUGGCGUCUACUGCCGCCCUGCCGGACAGGAAGUCGUCCUGCAGCGAUCGGACGAGAGACUCGGAGAGGCUGCAGAGAGACGUCCUGCUGUUUUACUUGUACCCACGUAAACCGUUUAUCUUUUAUCUAACACACAAACACAAACCGGAGCUCCUGAUUGGCCGAGGCGUUGGUGCCCUUCAGGUCGAUGGCGCGGAUGCUUUCCAUCAUGGACUCCACCUCCUCCAGCAGAUGCAUCUGAUUGGCCGAAUCAAGCUCCUUGGCACCGGUUUGGUUCAAAAGCCCCGCCUUCCUCUGAAGCACUGGACCAAUGGGAUUUGAGAUUACUUUAUGAGUGCAAUUUGAUUUGUUAUUAAAUAAGCGCCUGCUGUGACGCUGCUAACGAGUUGAUGACAUCAUCGGUGAGGACCGUUCACAUCGUUUACCCUGGAUGUGGUGCUGAAGGCUGCUGAUGUCAUCCAGCAGCAGUGCACCCUGGGAAACGGUGCUGUUUACAGACACAUCCACUUUCUCCAGGUUGUUGGACAGGCGCGGGACCUGGCCAAUCAGGAGACAGGAAAACUUUUCUUUAGUCAACGCCAACAAUUCUCAAAUCCUAAAACUAAUUAAUAUGUUAGAAUGAUGUCAUAUUAUGUUCUAUAUAUUUAACACGUCAUUAUCGGAGUUUAUUAUCUGGACACCUGCUGCAGCAGCGCGUUGAUGUCGGAGGUCAAAUGAUUGAGCUCGUCUUCCACUGUGAACAGCCGCAGAGCAACGGAGGCGUUUUCUGAGAGGGCCGCCUGCAGGAACACGCAGCAGGUCACACUUACUCUGCGUGUUGAUGGACAUCAGCCAUGUGAUCGGCGUGUGCUCCUACCUGGACGGCUCUGGUCCGGUUUGCCAGCAGAACCAGCCGGCGGUAUGGCGCCAUGCCAAUGGCGCUCAUGUUGACGGACAGGAAGUGGGUUUCUUCAAGGUCGUCCAACAGAACACCGACGCACUCAUCGUCGCACGCUGCCGCCACAAAGACCCCCCAAAGGUCAUCUCAGAUAACACGUGACCACACGUGUGUGCGCGCGUGUGUGUGUGUGUAGGUACUCACACACACAUUCUCCUCCCUGCAGGGCGUGUCUUUCCUCGCACCGGUCACAUGACUGACCUUUAACCCCAGCCUUGCACUCACACUGUCCACUCAGUGGGUCGCACAGCGGGCGCAGCGAGCCCCACCCACUGCAGCCGCAGGGCGCACAGGACCCGCCCACCACCACCGGGUUACCGUAGUAACCCUCCGAACACCUGCAGGACGACAGCAGCAGGUGAACAGCAGCUCACGGCUGAUUGGCUGAGCUUCAGGGGGUCAGGGGUCAAAGGUGGAGGCUCACCUCUCGCAGUGUCUCCCCUCAUACCCCUUCUGACAGGCGGUGCAGCGGAAUUCACCGCCUCCACCCUCUGACGCACAGGUGGGACUGAAACUACACGCACACAGUCACAGUCACUGGGAUGAAGAUAGAAGAGCGAAACCGAAGCGGCAGCGCGGCCUCACCUGUUGUCCACCAGGGGGCAGGCACACAGCGAGCAGUCGCUGAUGGAGCCGCUGAUGUUCCCAUAAUGCCCCGGGGCACACUGCGAGCAGCUGCGCCCACUGGUGUGAUGCUGACAGUCCUUGACAAGAAAUAGAAACAGCUUUCUACUUAUUUCUAUCUCUGCUUUCAUCGGAGUGUGCUAGCGUAAGUUAACAUGUCGCUAUGUGUUAGCAUGUUUCACUGCGUACUAGCAUGUGUUAGCCAUGGUUCAUGUAUCUACCAGACAGGCUCCGGUCUCCGCGUCACAACUCUCGCUGUGGUUGUUGCAGCGGCAUCGAACACACGGACGAACAAACAGCGACUUCUGCUUCUUAGUCGGUAGCUCAGACAGAGGCUGACGGAAAAACCCGGAAGCACAGUCCUGCAGACAGACGGGUCAGAGAGAGACAGACAGAAACGUUGGAGAGAGAGAGGCGGAGGCGGUCUAUGGUUGCCAUGGUGACAGGUACCUGACAGGACAGCCCGGCGUAUCCAGGUGGACAAAUGCAGGACUCGAUCAGCGUGGCCACGUUUCCCUCAUCUAGCUCCGCCUCCACCGCCGUCUCCAUGGUGAUGUUAGAGAUCCUUACAAUGUGACAGGAAGUGACACCAUCACACUGAGUGUGUGUCUGUGUGUGUUUGUGUGUGUAUGUGAGUGUGUGUACCUGCUCUGCUGCAGUCGGGUCCCGUAUGACGCUUUGAUGAUGACGUACUCAACGUCGCCGAGGACCGACAUGAAGUCAUCGCGACUCACCGGCUUCUCCGACACCGAGUUAAAGUACUUCCACUUGUGCUGCGACACACACACACACACACACACACACACACACACUAAAGUGCUGCAGGUUUUUUCAUAUCCACUUUCCUGGUGUCCCAUGAUGCCUUGCAGCGGUACCUCUGUCAUCCGGAUGUCGUGCUGUGUCCUGAUGCCGUUGCUAGGAGCGACCAUGUCAGCAUAUAUCACAUGCUUCCUCACGGUCCCGCCCCUCAUUAGCACCUGAGGUUCCUGAUUGGACAGCCCCGAGCCGUCCUCGGCGUAGAAGGUGACGAUGUAAGACAGCAGACCGCCGUACGACAGCAGCUAAAGUACACACGAGAGUACAAACACAAGUAAAGUACACUUAAGUACUGUUAUGUACAUGAAGAAGUACACAGUAAACAAGGCCCACACGGUGUAGUUGUACCUGAUGGCCUUGGUACUGGGGGGGCAGUCUCCAGUACAGCGGGCCGAUUGGCCGGCUGCUGUCCAGGUGACGGGUGUCGAGCAGCGACUCGCCGCCCUGUUGGCGGACUCCAGACACGACACCCUGCAGGUUGGCCUGGCUGACCAACGAGAGGACAGCGGGGGCGGGACCCGCGGUGAUCUGAGAAGGGAGAGACGCUGGCUUCAGGUACACACGCUGUAUUCACGCUGGAUGUACUCCACUAGUACACGUGUGUACUUAUCCUCACCGGUACUCGCUGCAGGCCUCCCUGCUCCUCGCAGUCGGAGCUGACACCCGAGCAGAAGCACCGCGAGCAGCCGUCAGGACUCAGAGCCGACAGAGCAAACCAGCCGGACACGCACUCCUCACAGCGCCGCCCAGACACGCCCACCUGGACACCGAGACACACCCGUCACUCUCACACACACACCUGCACACACACCUGCACACACACACACACACACACACACGCACGGCUCGCGGUACCUUGCACACACACUUUCCGGCGCGCUGACAGUCACACACUCCCAGCGUGGCGUUGCAGAACUCUUCGUUGGAUCCUGUCAGGUCGCAGCCGCAUGCUGGGCAUGCUGGGUAACCGUGGUGACCAAGGGCACAGCGGUCACAUGAUCGGCCAGAGAAGCCCUCUUUGCACGGACACUGCCCAUUGGUCAGCUGACACUGAGGGGCGGAGCUUCCAGCCACCGUGCAGCCGCACGGCUGAAGAGACACCAGGAUGUUAGUGUAUCAAUCCACAACCCUGUGUGUGUAUUCAUGUACAUGGGUGUGUAUCUUUGUGUACAUGUGUACCUUGCAACCUGUGGUGGGGUCAUGACCCCAGUAACCGGCCUCACACCUGUCACAAGUGUCUCCCUCUGUGUGUGGCGGGCAGAUGCACGCGCCGUCCUCUGGAUCACAGUUCCCUCCAGUGUGAUCACAGUUGCAUGCUGGGAGAAAAGAUAACAGCCAAUUAAAGGCAACCAAACGUCAGAGUGAGACCUUGAUAAUCUCUGUUUAGCUACCUGUGCAGCCGUUGGCAUGGAAACCAUAGUAACCAUGGCUACAGCGGUCACACGUAUCUCCAGACACACCCUCCACGCACUGGCAACGCCCAUUCUCAUCACAUGACUCAGAGAGAGAUCCUAAUUGGUUGCAGCCACAGGCGCGACAUCCCUCCGGACUUUGCAGCCCGAAGAACCCAGACUGAAAAAAGAGAUAAUAAGAUCGGUGACGAGGCGUGAUCAUCAGAUGAUGAUGGUGGUACACGCGUGUUCCUGUCUCACCUGACAGCGGUCACACGCGAGUCCCGUCACGUUUUCUCUACAGAAACAACGUCCUGUUGUGGCAUCACACACACUGGAGAGGGCGCCGCUGACAUCACAGCCACACUCUGACACACAGAGAGACACUUAGAAACUAUAACACUUCAUCAGUCAACUAAAUACAUUAAAACAAUAUUAUCUUCUGUGUUUAUUGUUAAAAACCUCAGUCUUGUAAGAGCAAAACAAAGAGGUCAGAGGUCAAAGCUGAUCUGGAUUAGAAAAGAUCAACAUUCCUGUGCGUGAAUGUGAGUCUGUGUGUGUGUGUCUCACCCCGACAGUCCUUUGCGCCCACGGCGUCUCCAUAGUAACCGGGCCGACAGACCUCGCAGUGCCUCCCGCCGGUGUUGCCCAGACAUCGCAGACACUCCCCGGUGACAGUGUCACAGUGCCCCGCCCUGCCGAGGUCCACGUUGCCAUUGCACUCGCAGCGGACGCAGGCCCCGCCCACCACCUGCGGGUUACCGUGAAAACCGCUGGCACACCUGCAGACACACGCACAGAGGGACGGGUGUUAGGUGUAGCCCGCUGCCUCCCCACUGGUUGGAUGGGCGCAGGCCCGCGUCGUCACCUCUCACAGGUGCGCCCGGCGUAUCCGUCCCGACAGCGGUCACAGGACACCUGGCCGGAGGCGUCCAGUGCGCACGUGGGGCUGAAGCUGUUGGACAGCUCGGUCAGAGGACACGGACACAGGCGACAGUCGCCCGGCGUGCCCUCGGUGGCGUCGCCGUAGAAACCGGGUAGGCAGCGGUCACACUGGGGGCCCGUGGUGUUGUGGGUGCACCCCUGAGGACGGACAGAGGCAGGUCACUCAGGUGUGUCUCAGGAUGAGUUCUGGCUCUUCUCAUCGGUAGUUCAGAACUCACCAAACAAACGCCGUCGGUGUCACAGUCGUACGCGUGGUCGUUACACUCGCACUGCAUGCAGUUCCCUCCGAACAAGACUCCGCCCACUCUGUAGAACCCCGGGAGACACGACUACGCACACAGUACACAAGGUGACACAGAGUACACAAGGUGACAUAGAUGUCACACAAAGUACAUGAAAGCGAGUACUCACCUCACACGAAGUACCGCUGUAACCAUACGGACAUUCACACGUCUCCACGGCAACCGCCUGACGACCAGAAACUGCACUAGAGUCAGCAAAGUCCAUGGACAUUGAGCUGAGACUGAAAGACAGACAAGCAGAGAGUGAGACAGGGAGAAAGUGAGACGGGCAGAGACAUAAGUUUUAUCUCCUGAGCAUCUUCACGUGGUCUCUCGUCUCUCUGGGUUAUCAUGGCAACGGAGAGGCUCUCACCGUACAGGCCUUUCGGUGGAGGCGUUCAGGUGAACCCUGACCGUCAGUGAUGUCACGUGCGCCAUGACGGAGAGCAGAUCGUCGCGGGCGACGUGAGCGCCCGACUGGACGUCCACAAACCUCUGCUCGGCCAUCGUCACGGCAACAGAGCGUUCAGCCAGAUCCGAGAAGAAGAGGACAACGGGAGGAGAGAGGCGAAGAGCUCGGCCGUUUCCCUGGAGACGACGGGGUUGGAGGGGUCGUUUAGUGUAGACGCCACUCUCUAUGUUCAUGUUCAAUAUGUUAAGAAACGUUAAUGGAAACUGUCGUUUUUCCUCACCUCGAUGAUGAUGUCAGAGCGGACAGGCAGAGGAUGAUCCUCGUUGUCCAACGGGACGUCAUAGACCAACGAGUAGUUCAGGGAGCCUCUGUAGGAAACCAGCUGGUGACAGACAGGCACACAGACCACAGAUCAUCUCGCUGUUGACUGACUGAUGGUUAAUGACCAAAUAUGGAAAUGGCGGCUCACCUUGUUUCCGAGAAAACGGUCGGGCGCCGCCCACGACAGCACCUGUUGGUGGGCGUGGCCAGAAGCGUUGUUGGAGAUGGGGAGGUCGUUGGUGUAGAUGACUGGGGGAGUGUGGAGGGACUGAGAGGGGCGAAGCGAAGCGCUUGUAUGAAACACCUGAAAAAGAAAAAGAAAUACCAUGAAGUGCUGGCGUGUUACCUGAGUAAGAGGUGUGUUGGUGCCGGGUGCAGGUGAGUCUCUGCAUGUUACCUGAGCUCUGGACCAGGUGGAGCUCUCACACACGUCAGACACACCGAAGCAGAAACAGUCGGUGCAGCCCAGCUCGUGACUCCCCUGCAGGUUGUAGAAACCUGGUUUACACAGAUCACAGUGAGCCCCCAUCACAUUCACCUGGGGAGGAGAGGACAGGUGAGACGUCAUAAAACACCCUGUAAGGGGUGACAACAGACAGGGGUCAGGUCUCAGGUAGCCCUGCGACUGUGAGUGGCCAUGUGACCAAGGACAAGGUGAGGAAUCAGGUGACCCUGGUACGGUGAGGAGACCCAGGUACUGGGAAGUCUCAGGUAUGACAUCAUCAGAGCGCUCACCUUGCAGGUACAGUUGCUGCAGGGGUCUGUGUUGACGCUGCCGGACAGGUUGCACUCACAUGGAGCACACCGAGGGAAGUCUCUGUAUCCAAAGGCACAGCGAUCGCACUGCCGACCCGUGAAGCCCUGCUGACACACACACUGCCCCGCAGACACACCUGUACACACAACACACUGCAAUGACGUCAUGAUACUCAAAACAACAGCACCACCAACAACAACAGUAGUAGUAGCAGUGUUGAAACAGAGUAACAGUGACCUGUCCGGGUGUCGUCUCCGCUGCAGACUGAAGACUUUGAUCCCCUCAGAUCACAGUUACACGGGACACAAGGGGAGUCUGAAUAUGGAGAAACCUACACACAAACGCACAAACACACACACAUUUAGUGAAAAAUGUUUUAUAUCAGUGGGUCUGUAGUAUUACUGCUAGUAUUUGCCAGUACCUCAGUAGGUCUGUAGAACCCGGCAGCGCAGGUCUCACAGUUGAUACCGGCGGUGUUUUGUUGACAGUCCAAACAGACUCCGCCUCCCUGACGAACGCCGUGAGUGUUUGUACUCAAAGAGAGUUGUGAGACGGUCUGAUUGUAGAAGCAGUCCUCUGCUUUGUUGUGACAGUUACACUCUGAGAGACAGACAGGUAGAGACACAGACAGGUGUUCCUAAACAGGUGGAGCCACAGUCAGAAUGUAAAAAGGAUUUUCUAAAUUUCCAAUCUUCUUACUCUCACAGGUGUUUCCCUCGGAGACGGUCCCAGGUUGCCAUGGCUGCUGGUGGUAACCGGGGCAACAUUGGUCACAGCUCUCUCCACAGGUGUUGUGUUCACACACACACUUUAACUUCUGUUCACACGCACACACACAGGUUAGAAGAGGUGUACAGCUAAACAAGUACACAGGUAACUGGUAAAGAGGUGACCCAAUGUACAGGUAGAACAGGUUACCUUGGUAACGAGGUCCAGCGGGCAGCUCUGGGCGUGGCCGUAACAGAUGCACAUCCCCCCCACUGAGAUGUCUUUGAUGGAGUAGUAGUACUGGGAGACAGAAUUAUUAUUUAUAGAUAUAUUAGAACUCAUUGAAACAUGUUGACCCUGUAGCACAUUGUCUCACCCUCCGUGUGACGAUGGGGUCGAUCUCUCGGGGGUCACGGGCGCUCAGCAUCAUCAGGUCGGCGUGAGCGUUCUGAUUCGCUGAAGCCGUAGUCUGAGGUACGAGCUGACGUGAAGUUCAGCAGUCAGAGGUCAGGUCAUCGGCUCCAGGUCGGCUGUUAAUCAGGGAGGUGUGAAUCUGGGACACCGGGACGGGUACAGAGAGACAGGUCAGAGGGAGACAGCUGCAUAGAGGGCGCCG